UGUGGCCUGGUGCAGUGGCGGCAGCUGGUGUUGUGAAUCAGGCCGUCGCCAAUCAAAGACCGGCUACUUCACAACACCAGGGUCGCCUUGUAC
Molecule: microRNA precursor, 93 nt
Organism: Dipodomys ordii (Ord's kangaroo rat)
Lineage: Eukaryota; Metazoa; Chordata; Mammalia; Rodentia; Heteromyidae
Source: Ensembl